RNAcentral lists this ribosomal RNA (346 nucleotides) under Plotinini sp. AGNM08. RNAcentral's name for it is "partial 12S ribosomal RNA". The record is from RNAcentral. Lineage: Eukaryota; Metazoa; Arthropoda; Insecta; Coleoptera; Coccinellidae.
AAAAAUGUAAUUUUGAAUAUUAAAUGAUUAAUAGUUAAGUUCUUUAAAGUUAAAUAAUUUGGCGGUAUUUUAAACUAUUCAGAGGAACCUGUUUUGUAAAUGAUAAUCCACGAUAAGUAAAACUUUAAUUAGAAAUUUUUAUAUCGUCGUAGAAAAUAUUUUUUUAGAAAAUUAAUAUUUAUAAUUUUUAAUUAAAAAAUAAAUCAGAUCAAGGUGAAGUUUAUAUUAAAGAAAUAAUGGGUUACAAUAAAAUUAUUUAUGAAUUUAGAAAGGAGAUUUUUUAAUGAAAAUGGAUUUGAAAGUAAUUUUAAAUAUUUUUUUAAAAUGAUUAAGCUCUAAAGUAUGU